Long non-coding RNA from Patella vulgata (common limpet), 969 nucleotides. RefSeq lists it as uncharacterized. The record is from RefSeq and is a predicted model, not a curated record. Lineage: Eukaryota; Metazoa; Mollusca; Gastropoda; Patellidae. The transcript has 3 exons.
CUUGAGACUACAGUUGUUCAAGAUGGUGAAGAUAGGCCGGUAUCACCAGUGUCUGAGUCUGUAUCGUCGGAAGAAGAUCCGUUCUCUCCUGAACCUGAAGUUACCAGAACUAGAAGGACUGCAAGGGAAAGAAAAGUACCUGAAUGGCAUAAAGAGUAUGUGAUGUCCAGCCAGACUACAACAACUUCUGUUUUGAGGAAAGCUGAAUUGGUCAGAUCAUUACUGCCUGCAGAUUUUAUGUCAUUAUCACCAGAAAGUUUACGAGUGGUGCUGGAAACUUUACCCAUGCUGUGCCAAACCUUAUUUCCAGAAGUUUUCAAGAAUGCGAGUUGAGGACAACCUUUCUCCUUGGCAGGGGAGUAUGUGACAGAGUGAAGAUUUAUUUUAAUCUAUUUGUAUAAUAUAUGCUAUUUUAUUGUAUAGUGUUCUUUUUGCACAGUGUCCUUUUAUGCAUGUUUUAACACAGUGAGCACAUUUAACCUUACACACCAAGUAUUGCUAUAACAUCUUUAUCACCCUUGUCUGUCUCUAUAGUUUUCUUGUGGACUGGUGAGUAGUGUUCAACUCACCAUGUGCAUGUUCUCUCUUAUCUGAACAUUCAUUGGUCACCUGACUAUUUUGACAUUCUUACUUUAGAUUUUGUUGGAGAAAGAUCACCUUCUGAUUUUCUCCAGGUAUCUACUAGUUAGUUAGUUUUGGCGGGAUUUUGGUAUUUCAUCAAUAUUCCAAUUUCUAUAAUUAGCUUUAGUUUGAUAUAGUAUAGUGUUUAAUAAGGUUACAGAUGAAUUAAAUAGGAAUUACAGAUUCAACAGCAGGUUUAUUGGAAGUGCUUGCCACCAUCUUUUGGCUUCCAAGUGGUUGGAAAACCCCUUUAUAGGGGUUUUUAUUGUGGUUAUUAUUAAUAAACCGAUUUAUGCGAGAACCUGAACCCUUGUGUCUUUUUCUUAAUCCGGAAAUUGCACCCUACAA